RNAcentral lists this ribosomal RNA (540 nucleotides) under uncultured Pseudomonadota bacterium. RNAcentral's name for it is "bacterial SSU rRNA". It matches the Rfam family "Bacterial small subunit ribosomal RNA", at positions 169 to 705 of the family's 1533-position model. Lineage: Bacteria; Pseudomonadati; Pseudomonadota. The record is from RNAcentral.
CCGCAUAACGUCGCAAGAACAAAGAGGGGGACCUUCGGGCCUCUUGCCAUCGGAUGUGCCCAGAUGGGAUUAGCUAGUAGGUGGGGUAACGGCUCACCUAGGCGACGAUCCCUAGCUGGUCUGAGAGGAUGACCAGCCACACUGGAACUGAGACACGGUCCAGACUCCUACGGGAGGCAGCAGUGGGGAAUAUUGCACAAUGGGCGCAAGCCUGAUGCAGCCAUGCCGCGUGUAUGAAGAAGGCCUUCGGGUUGUAAAGUACUUUCAGCGGGGAGGAAGGGAGUAAAGUUAAUACCUUUGCUCAUUGACGUUACCCGCAGAAGAAGCACCGGCUAACUCCGUGCCAGCAGCCGCGGUAAUACGGAGGGUGCAAGCGUUAAUCGGAAUUACUGGGCGUAAAGCGCACGCAGGCGGUUUGUUAAGUCAGAUGUGAAUCCCCGGGCUCAACCUGGGAACUGCAUCUGAUACUGGCAAGCUUGAGUCUCGUAGAGGGGGGUAGAAUUCCAGGUGUAGCGGUGAAAUGCGUAGAGAUCUGGAGGA